This 64-nucleotide transfer RNA is filed under the name Neoneuromus maculatus. Its description in RNAcentral is "Neoneuromus sp. 1 FY-2017 tRNA-Tyr". The record is from RNAcentral. Lineage: Eukaryota; Metazoa; Arthropoda; Insecta; Megaloptera; Corydalidae.
GGUAAAAUGGCUGAAAAUUAGGCGAUAAAUUGUAAAUUUAUUUAUGAGAUAGAUCUCUUUUACU